GGGCCUGAAGUGAACUGACCCAACUGUAUCAACAGUUCUGUGCUACUCGGCGUUUUCUGCAUGGACGGCGACUUCAUACAAGAAGAAAGAUGAUGGCAAGCGGAGGUCACCUGUUGUCUGUGCACAUCCACGAUCACGUUCCUUGAAGCAAGUUUGUCAAUGUUCCUGGUUUUGUAAAUGUUCCUGGUUUGAUUAAAAAUGCAAUGAAUCACA
Long non-coding RNA from Notolabrus celidotus (New Zealand spotty), 213 nucleotides. RefSeq lists it as uncharacterized. The record is from RefSeq and is a predicted model, not a curated record. NCBI's taxonomy places the organism in Eukaryota, Metazoa, Chordata, Actinopteri, Labriformes, Labridae. The transcript has 2 exons.